UACGAAGGGGGCUAGCGUUGCUCGGAAUGACUGGGCGUAAAGGGCGCGUAGGCGGAUGGCACAGUCAGAUGUGAAAUUCCCGGGCUUAACCUGGGGGCUGCAUUUGAUACGUGUGAUCUAGAGUGAGGAAGAGGGUCGUGGAAUUCCCAGUGUAGAGGUGAAAUUCGUAGAGAUCGGAAAGAACACCAACGGCGAAAGCACUCUGCUGGGCCGACACUGACACUGAGAGACGAAAGCUAGGGGAGCGAAUGGG
Molecule: ribosomal RNA, 253 nt
Filed under: uncultured bacterium
Lineage: Bacteria
Description: partial 16S ribosomal RNA
Rfam family: Bacterial small subunit ribosomal RNA
Source: RNAcentral